Molecule: ribosomal RNA, 276 nt
Filed under: Triticum aestivum (bread wheat)
Lineage: Eukaryota; Viridiplantae; Streptophyta; Magnoliopsida; Poales; Poaceae
Description: partial small subunit ribosomal RNA
Source: RNAcentral
CGCCCCCACCUCGCGGCACCAUCCCCAGCCUCGGCCUCCUCAUCCUCCAGAACGGAAGAAACCCCCCGAAGACCGGCCUCCCGCCACCCCGAGGCAUCGGCGGUCGCCGCGGCAUCCCCAUCGGCCUCGGCCCCCCACCCCCCAUCGGCCGGUACCCCAAUUCGAACCCCUUAACCUCAACACACGAGCUAGUGCCCCUGCCCCUACCUUAACCUUACCUUGUCCACCCUUCCCCCGCUUCGUCUUGCACCAAACCAAACCGCUGCGCCUCCCCUC